GUUACAGAAGUUCAAAUCAUCAUCAUACGGGAAGUUUUCAGCCAAUUUACUGUAUUGGAGCAACUGACCACAAUCUUGAUUAUGACUGGGAGUGGGCGAGUACGGAUAAAGUUGUUUACCCAGAGAUGUUCGGCGUACACGAACCUGAUCGAUAUAUGGGUUCCAACAAGGAGUGUCUAGCAAUCAAUGUACAAAGCGACUGGAG
RNAcentral lists this long non-coding RNA (205 nucleotides) under Mytilus galloprovincialis (Mediterranean mussel). The record is from RNAcentral. Lineage: Eukaryota; Metazoa; Mollusca; Bivalvia; Mytilida; Mytilidae.